UACGUAGGCAGCAAGCGUUGUUCGGAGUUACUGGGCGUAAAGGGUGUGUAGGCGGCUUUUUAAGUUUGGUGUGAAAUCUCCCGGCUUAACUGGGAGGGUGCGCCGAAUACUGAAGAGCUAGAGUGCGGGAGAGGAGAGUGGAAUUCCUGGUGUAGCGGUGAAAUGCGUAGAUAUCAGGAGGAACACCGGUGGUGUAGACGGCUCUCUGGACCGUAACUGACGCUGAUACACGAAAGCGUGGGUAGCAAACAGG
This 253-nucleotide ribosomal RNA is filed under the name uncultured bacterium. RNAcentral describes it as "partial 16S ribosomal RNA". It matches the Rfam family "Bacterial small subunit ribosomal RNA", at positions 524 to 776 of the family's 1533-position model. The record is from RNAcentral.